UAAAGCAGCGCCGCAGAUUAAGCUUAUUGUUAUCAAAUUAAGAAGGUAUAUUUCACUUUUCUGCUCGAACGUGCCGUACCUAACCGCUGGCCAAAAACAAGUUGAAGGAGGUGUUGCCGAUGGCUCAGCCGCAACGCAGCACGUUUUUCUAUACCGAACAGCAGAAUUGGAUGCGCCCCGCGUCACCACUCACGUUAGAACAAAAUGCUAGCUCGCCGUGAGUUAGUGAAGGCGAACUAGUUCGCGGCCGAACCAAAACAUUGAACAGCUGAGUCAGCGCUGCGAGCAGAUCGCACAAAAUAAAGCACCUGUUCGGCGUGGGACAGGAAACUGCCCCAAUUCCCAUGAAUGUACAACCAAACCAGGCCUCAACCGUUUCGACUAUUUAUUAUUUAUUUUAGAUUCGGCAACAGCUGCUGGUAAACGGGUGCCAGUUUAGUUGGACAGUGCUGCCAGACCGAACACAUACCUUUAGAGUUUCCCGUUCCUUGGCGCUCAAUUGAAUUUUUAAAUUUAUCUGUUUCUCGCUAUCGGCUUACAACUUAAGACACGUACACUAUUAUUAAUCUUUGAAGUGGUGUAACUUUUGAUUUUUCUUCAAAGUAAGAAUUAUUUGUUUUGUUUCGAAGUAUAACCUCAAUGAGCAUGAAAAUUA
Long non-coding RNA from Drosophila yakuba, 655 nucleotides. RefSeq lists it as uncharacterized. The transcript is spliced from 2 exons. NCBI's taxonomy places the organism in Eukaryota, Metazoa, Arthropoda, Insecta, Diptera, Drosophilidae. The record is from RefSeq and is a predicted model, not a curated record.